This 474-nucleotide ribosomal RNA is filed under the name uncultured bacterium. RNAcentral's name for it is "SSU rRNA". It matches the Rfam family "Bacterial small subunit ribosomal RNA", at positions 26 to 518 of the family's 1533-position model. The record is from RNAcentral.
AGGACGAACGCUGGCGGCGUGCUUAACACAUGCAAGUCGAGCGGAAAGGCCCUUCGGGGUACUCGAGCGGCAAACGGGUGAGUAACACGUGAGUAACCUGCCCUUGGCUCUGGGAUAGCUCCGGGAAACCGGAAUUAAUACCGGAUAUGACUUCGGCCGACAUCGGCUGCGGUGGAAAGAUUUAUCGGCCAGGGAUGGGCUCGCGGCCUAUCAGCUAGUUGGUGGGGUAACGGCCUACCAAGGCGACGACGGGUAGCCGGCCUGAGAGGGCGACCGGCCACACUGGGACUGAGACACGGCCCAGACUCCUACGGGAGGCAGCAGUGGGGAAUAUUGCGCAAUGGGCGAAAGCCUGACGCAGCGACGCCGCGUGGGGGAUGAAGGCCUUCGGGUUGUAAACCCUUUCGGCAGGGACGAAGCGAAAGUGACGGUACCUGCAGAAGAAGCGCCGGCUAACUACGCGCCAGCAGCCGC